Molecule: microRNA precursor, 197 nt
Filed under: Oryza nivara
Lineage: Eukaryota; Viridiplantae; Streptophyta; Magnoliopsida; Poales; Poaceae
Description: MIR812 microRNA precursor family
Rfam family: MIR812 microRNA precursor family
Source: Rfam by way of RNAcentral
UAUAAGGGAUUUUGAGUUUUUGCUUGCACUGUUUGACCACUCGUCUUAUUCAAAAAAUUUUGGAAUUAUUUUUUUUUGUGACUUACUUUAUUAUCCAAAGUACUUUAAGCACAACUUUUCAUUUUUUAUAUUUGCACAAAUUUUUUGAAUAAGACGAGUGGUCAAAUAAUGCAAACAAAAACUCAAAAUCCCUUAUA